GUCAGGAGAUCGAGACCAUCCUGGCCAACACGGUGAAACCCUGUCUCUACUAAAAAUACGAACAAACAAAAACAUCUCUGGACCAAUCUGGUCUUAAUUUCUUCUAUCCAGGCCUUUUGGUUCUCCCUGGCUGGCCAUGGGCUUCACUUCUCUGAUGGCUCAAUUCAUUCUUUCCUAAGAUCUUCAAGUUUAUAGUGAAAUUUUCUCUCAAGUGAGCUUUUUUCCUGCUUAUUCCAAGGCUGAUUUAAUUAUAACCAUUCUUUAAGUAAAAAAGGACUUAUUUAUUCAAAAAUUCUGAGUACCUUUUUCAUGCUAGGCAGCACUGAGAAUGUCAUGGUGAGUAAAAUGAAUAAAGGCUGUGCCCUUAUAGAGCUUACAUUCUUGUGGGGAAUCAGCAGACUUAAAAUGUUUUAAACUGUCAGAUACUAGUAAAUUCAACAAAGGGGAAAAAAAGCAAGGCAAGUGAAGGUCUGUAUUAUAGAGAAUAAUGGGAGAGAUGGAGAAAAAGGGUUGCAGUAUUUCCAAAGCCUUGAGAAAGGAAAACAGGACCUAUAUGCACUUAUCAACUUAAAAGACUUGAUUCAAUAGUAAGAACUUUUUGGUUUGUUUUUUGUUUUUUGGUUUUUUUUUUUUUUUUUUUUUGGUCAUUUGCUGUAUUUUAAAACCUCGUUCAAACUAGGUGGACAGGAAGUAACUCAUGGGUGAUUAUGGCUUCAAAAGUCUGCUUUUUGUCAUAUUGAUUGAGCAGUGAACAGUUCCUAGUUAAGUACCAUAAGAUGGUGCUGUUAAGGUUUGUUGUUUUUUUUCUGUUUCAAAGCUCUUAAGGCUUUUGGGGGGAAUAAUACACGUAUCUUUACCAAAUAAAGUGAAAUAUAUUUAAAAUAAUUAUAUUUUAGAAUAUCAAUAAUACAAACUUUUAAAUCAAUGUGUAAAAUGUUUUGCUGGUAAAAGCACAAUGAUUAUGGGAAGAAACAAACUCAUUGUACUAGGUUUAAAAUGUUUUGGGAACAUGAAACCAAAAUGUCACAGUCUGAGGGAAAGCGUGCCAAGCAUUAUUAACAUAAAAGAGGUUAAAUAGGUGAGAGAUUAAGUUUACAGAUUAAAUUGGAAAUAAAUGAAUCUUUGUUUUUGUCACAGGAAAGAUCCCCCCAGGGAGAGGAUACUAAAAUGUAGCUAGAAGUGCAAAAUGUUUUAGUAGAGCUUAACUCCAGCGAAAGGAGAAGGAAGGGUGCAGAAUUAGGGGAAACUGUCAGACAGUGAUGCAGAGUUGACAAAGUUGCUGUCAGCCUAGUGGGAGCUUCGGAGCAGAGACUCCCUGAUAGAGUGGUAUGUUAGGCAGAAAUGGCUAGACCACUGUCCCACUGCAUUGUCAGGUAAUUGGCUGGGGAUCACCUCACCUGGCCAGAAAGUUGAGGUAAACUCUGACAAAGCCAAUAACGAGGCUAUCAGCUAGCCACAGCUGGGUAGCAAGUCUUGCAGCUGGUAGCACGUCCUUUCUUGAGGGGAGAUCUGAGCAUCACAUCUCUGCCAAAAUUUAUAAAGAAAACAUCCUAUUUAUAGAAUUAAAAUGAAGAAGUCCUAUAUAAUUUGCUUAGAAUGAUUAUACUGUGAUUACUUGAACUGCAAAGUUAGAAGUAACUUAGGUGCUCAGUAAAUGGUACAUUUCUGAAGGGUAAAGUUGGAAGAAAAAGAUUAUUAUUUUUGCUUGAAUUUUGCUCUGAAUAGCAGAGCAGUUGUUCUCAUUAUGUGCUAUUUGCUGGUGCAGAAGAUCAGUCUUUGAACAUAGUAAUAAGAAAUAUACAUUUAUUUAUUCAAAGGAAGGCAUGUGCCAGAUGCUGGAUUACAUCAGAAUGAGCAAGAAAAAUACAGCAUCUGUCCAGGUGGAACUUACAGUCUGGUGAAUACACACAAAUAGGUAAAUUCUCUUUGCUGUAGGAGCAACACCUAAACCCAGAUUUGAGCUACUGGAAAAGUUGAAAAUUAACAUGCAGCUUGCUUAUUUCUGUUGGACAACACUACUGUAGACCAGCGGGUCUCAAACAGAGCAGAGAGUUUAUGAACACACAGAUUGCUGGGCCCUAAAAAUUUAGUUCCUAGUUAAGUACCUUUAUAUUUUGCUUAGAAAGAUUAUACUGUAUUUGUUAAUGUUUAUUUGAAUUGUGAAGUGUGAAGUAACUUUCUGAUUCAGUAGGUCUGUAUGAGGUCUGAGAGUUUGAAUUUCUGACAGGUUCCCAGGUGGUACUGGAUGCUGCUGAUCCAAUGACCACAUUUUAAGAACCACUGCUUUAGACCAGGCCCUAAGUAGGGCCAGAUAGGGGGAAAUAGUUUCAAAGCAGCAUGAUGCCACCGCUCGACUGAAGGCCAAGGAGCUGCCUUUGGGUAAUGGAUGGCACCUCCUCUUCAUAAAGUCCAUUUCUUCAGAUGCCUCCUGUGGUGGAUGAACCUUUGCAUAUGUCAUUAAGUGCUUAUGUUGUCAACUGCUCCAUCUCAGAAAAAAAGUUUUCUCUUGACAGUGGAGUGUGAGCACACAGAGCACUCAAGGUCUAACCAGGUUAAUAGGUAGGAACAGCUAUAAAUCAGAGUCCCCAGCACUGUCUGCACUAUUUUAACUGAGAUGAUAGGAAAAUAGGUAACAAGUUUAACCCCCCAUGGCAACUGCUGUACUGAUAUCUUCACAUACACUUUACACUUGUAUAAUAACAUAUUUCAACUUUCAAAAGUGGCCUCACAUCUAUCAUCUCAUUUUACUCUAACAAGGACCCCACCCACCUCCCGGAUCUUUUAAUAUCAUAACCAGAAAGAGCUGACUAAGUCAACAAGGGAAGGUACCAUGCUGGGUGCUUUAUACAUAUGACUUCCAGCGCUGACAACGAUCCAUUCUGGUAGAUAUUAUUGUCUCCUUGUAAUAGGGCCCAGCUGGGAUUGAACUGAAGUGUGUCUAGCUCUAAAACCCUUGUACUUUCAACUGGGUCAUCAUACACUUAUCCUAUGUUCUAAUUCAUUAUUAAAAGUCAAUCUUUCCUAUGGAUAAUGGUUACUUUGAGAGGUGGGGGUAGUGACCAGAAAGGGAUGUAAAGGGGGUUGCUGGUAAUGUUGUUUUUUCAUUUGGAUACUACUUAGAUGAGCGUGUACCCUUUGGGAAAGCCCACUGAGUUGUACACUUAGGAUUUGUGCACUUUAUGUAUGUUUGUAAGAAAUAUUUCAAUAGGAAACAUUUUAAAGCUAGUUUUUCUUUUGAAGGUGUAAGCUUUUUACUUACUUGUCUCCAAAAUCUAACUCUUUAUGUGCCUGUAUGUUGCAGUGGAAAAAGUGAGCUCAUGAUCAUUUUGCUUAUUUACAAUGGAUAAAUGAGAUCCAAAUACACAGAAUCAAGGGAAGGAGUUGCUUCUUCUAAGAGUGAUGCUUAAUCUUUUGGGUCAUGGAUGAAUUGAAGAUUUGAUUAAAGUUACAAUAAAAA
RNAcentral lists this long non-coding RNA (3457 nucleotides) under Homo sapiens (human). RNAcentral's name for it is "HSALNT0321373". The record is from RNAcentral. Lineage: Eukaryota; Metazoa; Chordata; Mammalia; Primates; Hominidae.